Small nucleolar RNA from Benincasa hispida (wax gourd), 83 nucleotides. RefSeq annotates it as small nucleolar RNA Z103. The record is from RefSeq and is a predicted model, not a curated record. Lineage: Eukaryota; Viridiplantae; Streptophyta; Magnoliopsida; Cucurbitales; Cucurbitaceae.
AUGGAAGUGAUGACACUUUCCCCAAAUGAUCGACGCUGAUUAUACUAUGCUGGUGUGUUUUAUCACACUCCUGUCUGAUCCGU